Molecule: ribosomal RNA, 161 nt
Filed under: Hordeum arizonicum
Lineage: Eukaryota; Viridiplantae; Streptophyta; Magnoliopsida; Poales; Poaceae
Description: 5.8S ribosomal RNA
Rfam family: 5.8S ribosomal RNA
About the family: 5.8S ribosomal RNA (5.8S rRNA) is a component of the large subunit of the eukaryotic ribosome. It is transcribed by RNA polymerase I as part of the 45S precursor that also contains 18S and 28S rRNA. Functionally, it is thought that 5.8S rRNA may be involved in ribosome translocation.
Source: RNAcentral
AUGACUCUCGGCAACGGAUAUCUCGGCUCUCGCAUCGAUGAAGAACGUAGCGAAAUGCGAUACCUGGUGUGAAUUGCAGAAUCCCGCGAGCCAUCGAGUCUUUGAACGCAAGUUGCGCCCGAGGCCACUCGGCCGAGGGCACGCCUGCCUGGGCGUCACGC